GGGGUCUGCCGGGAUGCUUUACACAUGCAGUCGAACGGCAGCGCGAGAGUAUGCUUGCUCUCUUGGCGGCGAGUGGCGGACGGGUGAGUAAUAUAUCGGAACGUGCCCAGUAGCGGGGGAUAACUACUCGAAAGAGUGGCUAAUACCGCAUACGCCCUACGGGGGAAAGGGGGGGAUCGCAAGACCUCUCACUAUUGGAGCGGCCGAUAUCGGAUUAGCUAGUUGGUGGGGUAAAGGCUCACCAAGGCAACGAUCCGUAGCUGGUUUGAGAGGACGACCAGCCACACUGGGACUGAGACACGGCCCAGACUCCUACGGGAGGCAGCAGUGGGGAAUUUUGGACAAUGGGGGAAACCCUGAUCCAGCCAUCCCGCGUGUAUGAUGAAGGCCUUCGGGUUGUAAAGUACUUUUGGCAGAGAAGAAAAGGUAUCCCCUAAUACGGGGUACUGCUGACGGUAUCUGCAGAAUAAGCACCGGCUAACUACGUGCCAGCAGCCGCGGUAAUACGUAGGGUGCAAGCGUUAAUCGGAAUUACUGGGCGUAAAGCGUGUGUAGGCGGUUCGGAAAGAAAGAUGUGAAAUCCCAGGGCUCAACCUUGGAACUGCAUUUUUAACUGCCGAGCUAGAGUAUGUCAGAGGGGGGUAGAAUUCCUCGUGUAUCAGUGAAAUGCGUACAUAUGUGGAGGAAUACCGAUGGCAAGGGCAGCCCCCUGGGAUAAUACUGAA
Molecule: ribosomal RNA, 725 nt
Filed under: Alcaligenes sp. AMPA1
Lineage: Bacteria; Pseudomonadati; Pseudomonadota; Betaproteobacteria; Burkholderiales; Alcaligenaceae
Description: bacterial SSU rRNA
Rfam family: Bacterial small subunit ribosomal RNA
Source: RNAcentral